Ostrea edulis (European flat oyster) is the source of this 1241-nucleotide long non-coding RNA. RefSeq lists it as uncharacterized. The record is from RefSeq and is a predicted model, not a curated record. The transcript is spliced from 2 exons. NCBI's taxonomy places the organism in Eukaryota, Metazoa, Mollusca, Bivalvia, Ostreida, Ostreidae.
GGCUCUAAAGAAAGGAGGCCUCCACGUGGCUAGAGCUGGAAACAUAUGGAAACUAUGAAUGUUUAAAUAAACUUCAAAUUCAUGUUUUCCUUAUGGCUAACUUCCUUAUUUAUACUAGUGUGUAUGUGUGUGUAUUUGUAUCUCUUUAAUUUAAUCGGGAGUGUUGCACUAAAAUUCUAUUUGGUAUAAAUGAUAGUACUUAUAGUAUCUUGAAAUUUCAUUGACCUAAGAGAUAUUUCAAAUCUGGGGUUUCAUGUUUCAUGCAAGCAUGUAGGUCUACAAAACUUUAUUUAAAAUAUUUGUAAAAUCACAAGCCCCCCUCAUAGGCAAAUAAAUGUAUUGUAUGAAAAUAAGAUAUGUAUGUCCUUCUCUUGACCCACACUUUGAUAUUAUUAGAAUGAACUGGCAGUUUAUGAAAACAUAUCUGUCAUCUCAUAUUGUAAUAUGAUAAUUAUGAUGUUUAUUCACCUCAUUAAGGACCCGGGGGUGGGAGGGUAUGUACAGUUUAAAUAGAAGGUAACUAUAACAAUAUGAAAUAAAUAACAAUCAUGCAGAUGUACUACUACUGCAAGAGUUCACAUUGCUGCACUGCACACAUUUAACAUACAUGUAGUGUUACAUAUGUAAUACUGAUUUCAGACAAGAUUUUAAAAAUUAACAUAAUAAAAUACAUGUUAUGUGUGUAAUUUUCAAUAUAUCAGCAUUUUAAAGUUCACUAAACAUGCAUUGAGACACACAAUUUUAAAAUUGACAUUGUCUGACACAGUAUAAUUAAUGAUUAAUACUGACUGUGCAAAUAUUAAUUAUGAUGAUUUUUUUCUAAGCAUCAUCCUAAGGACCAGUGCAAGUUGAAAUGGGAUUCCAGCCAACAACUUCAACAGCAAUUUGCCAUGAAAAUCAGCAAGAAAGGUACUUCAUUUACAUUGAUGAUGUCAUAUCCCCUGGACCCCACAACUUUACAGGUUACAGAGAAAAUUCAAGAACUUCUGCAAAAUGUGGGACUUGGAUAGAAUCAAUAAUGUAUUUGUGAGCCCAGAGCAAUGGAUAUAUUGUGCAACAUACUAAAGUGUGAAUUUAAUGGAAAACAAGUACAUGUACUCAUGUAUUACAUGUCUUUUUUAAAGACAAUACUAUUGUAUAAAUAUAGAGGAAGUGUCAUUGUUGAUUAUUCUAAGUUUUUGAUAUAUCAAAAUCAGUAAACAUUUCUAAAUGAAAAUAAAAUACCAAUUUUAUAACUUUAA